RNAcentral lists this ribosomal RNA (249 nucleotides) under uncultured bacterium. RNAcentral describes it as "partial 16S ribosomal RNA". It matches the Rfam family "Bacterial small subunit ribosomal RNA", at positions 796 to 1041 of the family's 1533-position model. The record is from RNAcentral.
CACGCUGUAAACGAUGGGUACUAGGUUUGGUGGGUCUUGACCCCCGCCGAACCGGAGCUAACGCGAUAAGUACCCCGCCUGGGAAGUACGGUCGCAAGACUAAAACUCAAAGGAAUUGACGGGGGCCCGCACAAGCGGUGGAUCAUGUGGUUUAAUUCGAAGCAACGCGAAGAACCUUACCUGGAUUUGACAUCCUUGGACAAACGUAGAGAUACGUCUUUCGUAGCAAUACGACCAAGUGACAGGUGC